GCGCUGGCUUCGCGUCGGUGGGCGAUGUCCCGCGGAGCCUCGCGGCUCUCGCGCGGGCACGCUACCGUGCGUCGAUGUCCGGCGCUCGUCGUCGUGCACUUUCUCCCCAAGUAGAACGUCGCGACCCGNUGGGUGUCGGUCUACGGCCCGGGUGCGGUGACUGUCGCGUCGCCGGUAAAACGGCACGCGACAAACCCCCGGUCGCCCGGCCGGCUGCUCGGCGGUACGCGCAAGGUAUCAGGCCGCACUGUUUACGGUGCGUCGAGGCCGUCGCAAGCGCGCGCCACGGUACUCGGAGGUUACGGACUUUGCGCCGUCCCCGGUCCUGGCCCGCUGUUGGUUAAAGUACGGAUCACCUUCGACAGGCCUGUCGAACGUCCCCCUCCCUCUCUUGCGAGUGUCGANNNNNAUCUAUACCGGUCGGCGACGCUAC
This 433-nucleotide ribosomal RNA is filed under the name Formica subsericea. Its description in RNAcentral is "LSU rRNA". Lineage: Eukaryota; Metazoa; Arthropoda; Insecta; Hymenoptera; Formicidae. The record is from RNAcentral.